This 460-nucleotide ribosomal RNA is filed under the name uncultured bacterium. RNAcentral describes it as "partial 16S ribosomal RNA". It matches the Rfam family "Bacterial small subunit ribosomal RNA", at positions 338 to 795 of the family's 1533-position model. The record is from RNAcentral.
CCUACGGGAGGCAGCAGUGAGGAAUAUUGGUCAAUGGACGAGAGUCUGAACCAGCCAAGUAGCGUGAAGGAUGACUGCCCUAUGGGUUGUAAACUUCUUUUAUAAAGGAAUAAAACGAGGCACGUGUGCCUUUUUGCAUGUACUUUAUGAAUAAGGAUCGGCUAACUCCGUGCCAGCAGCCGCGGUAAUACGGAGGAUCCGAGCGUUAUCCGGAUUUAUUGGGUGUAAAGGGAGCGUAGAUGGGUUGUUAAGUCAGUUGUGAAAGUUUGCGGCUCAACCGUAAAAUUGCAAUUGAUACUGGCAGUCUUGAGUACAGUUGAGGUAGGCGGAAUUCGUGGUGUAGCAGUGAAAUGCUGAGAUAUCACGAAGAACCCCGAUUGCGAAGGCAGCUUACUAAACUGUGACUGACAUUGAUGCUCGAAAGUGUGGGUAUCAAACAGGAUUAGAUACCCGAGUAGUC